RNAcentral lists this ribosomal RNA (467 nucleotides) under uncultured bacterium. RNAcentral describes it as "partial 16S ribosomal RNA". It matches the Rfam family "Bacterial small subunit ribosomal RNA", at positions 28 to 506 of the family's 1533-position model. The record is from RNAcentral.
GACGAACGCUGGCGGCGUGCUUAACACAUGCAAGUCGAACGGAAAGGCCCUGCUUUUGUGGGGUGCUCGAGUGGCGAACGGGUGAGUAACACGUGAGUAACCUGCCCUUGACUUUGGGAUAACUUCAGGAAACUGGGGCUAAUACCGGAUAGGAGCUCCUGCUGCAUGGUGGGGGUUGGAAAGUUUCGGCGGUUGGGGAUGGACUCGCGGCUUAUCAGCUUGUUGGUGGGGUAGUGGCUUACCAAGGCUUUGACGGGUAGCCGGCCUGAGAGGGUGACCGGCCACAUGGGGACUGAGAUACGGCCCAGACUCCUACGGGAGGCAGCGGUGGGGAAUAUUGCACAAGGGGCGGAAGCCUGAUGCAGCAACGCCGCGUGCGGGAUGACGGCCUUCGGGUUGUAAACCGCUUUCGCCUGUGACGAAGCGUGAGUGACGGUAAUGGGGAAAGAAGCACCGGCUAACUACGU